This 468-nucleotide ribosomal RNA is filed under the name uncultured bacterium. RNAcentral's name for it is "partial 16S ribosomal RNA". It matches the Rfam family "Bacterial small subunit ribosomal RNA", at positions 28 to 507 of the family's 1533-position model. The record is from RNAcentral.
GACGAACGCUGGCGGCGUGCUUAACACAUGCAAGUCGAACGGAAAGGCCCUGCUUGUGUGGGGUGCUCGAGUGGCGAACGGGUGAGUAACACGUGAGUAACCUGCCCUUGACUUUGGGAUAACUUCAGGAAACUGGGGCUAAUACCGGAUAUGAGCUCCUGCUGCAUGGUGGGGGGUGGAAAGUUUCGGCGGUUGGGGAUGGACUCGCGGCUUAUCAGCGUGUUGGUGGGGUAGUGGCGUACCAAGGCGUUGACGGGUAGCCGGGCUGGGAGGGUGACCGGCCCCAGUGGGACUGAGGAACGGGCCAGACUCCUACGGGGGGAAUGAGUGGGGAAUAUUGCACAAUGGGCGGAAGCCUGAUGGAGGAACGCCGCGUGCGGGAUGACGGCCUUCGGGUUGGAAAACGCUUUCGCCUGGGACGAAGCGUCAGUGACGGUAAUGGGUAAAGAAGCACCGGCUAACUACGUG